This 354-nucleotide transfer-messenger RNA is filed under the name Kiritimatiellia. RNAcentral describes it as "RUG572 sp900320225 Standard tmRNA". It matches the Rfam family "transfer-messenger RNA". From Rfam's summary of the family: Bacterial tmRNA, also known as 10Sa RNA or SsrA, is named for its dual tRNA and mRNA-like properties. Lineage: Bacteria; Pseudomonadati; Kiritimatiellota. RNAcentral also lists the same sequence under 1 other name. The record is from RNAcentral.
GGGGGUGAUCCGGUUUCGACGGGAUGCGUGGAGACCAGAUUGCGCGUCGAGGAUUCUCGUUGGCCUCGUUAAAAAACGGGAAAAACUGUAAUUGCGAACAACGAUUACGCUCUCGCGGCCUGAUUAACGGCCCCGAUGUCGCGCGGCGGACGCCUGCUAAGCCGCAGCGGCAUAACCUAGCAGGACCCGCUGCGGGGUUUUCCGCCUGGACGCCGCAGCCUGCAUAAUCAAGCGGUUGCUUUCGGAUAAGCCCGUUCGUCGGCGUACCGAAGGCGAGAUCAAAGGCGGACUACACGCGUAGAUGUUUGGCCAAAGCCGUUUCGGACGGGGGUUCGACUCCCCCCACCUCCACCA